GAAGUGGCAAACGGGUGAGUAACACGUAAACAACCUGCCUUCAGGAUGGGGACAACAGACGGAAACGACUGCUAAUACCGAAUACCUGAAGAGGGGUUUGCGUCUGAUUAGGUAGUUGGUGAGGUAACGGCCCACCAAGCCGACGAUCAGUAGCCGGUCUGAGAGGAUGAACGGCCACACUGGAACUGAGACACGGUCCAGACUCCUACGGGAGGCAGCAGUGGGGAAUCUUCCGCAAUGGGCGAAAGCCUGACGGAGCAACGCCGCGUGAGUGAUGACGGCCUUCGGGUUGUAAAGCUCUGUGAUCGGGGACGCGGUACCCGAAUAGCAAGCCACGGCUAACUACGUCCCUGCAGCCGCGGUAAUACGUAGGUGGCAAGCGUUGUCCGGAAUUAUUGGGCGUAAAGCGCGCGCAGGCGGUUCUUAAGUCCAUCUUAAAAGUGCGGGGCUUAACCCCGUGAUGGGAUGGAAACUGAGA
This 478-nucleotide ribosomal RNA is filed under the name uncultured bacterium. RNAcentral describes it as "bacterial SSU rRNA". It matches the Rfam family "Bacterial small subunit ribosomal RNA", at positions 92 to 638 of the family's 1533-position model. The record is from RNAcentral.